AGGGCCCCGUGGGUGACCAGUGGUUGUGUGGGAACGAAACUGAGGUUUUCCCUGUUGGGGAGGGAGGGAGAAUCGCUGGCAAUCUUUGUGAAACCCUCCUCUACCUCUGCUCAUAGCGCAGGGGUGGGGGGCGAGAAGGGCGUAGCGUCGGGCUUGGUGGAUGGGAUGUGUGCACGUGUUAGGAUGACUCUCAGGUAUCUAGAUGUAACGUCACAACGAUACCAAAGGCUUAGUCUGUGCACCGCUUCUUCU
Molecule: long non-coding RNA, 252 nt
Organism: Sinocyclocheilus anshuiensis
Lineage: Eukaryota; Metazoa; Chordata; Actinopteri; Cypriniformes; Cyprinidae
Exons: 2
Source: RefSeq, a predicted model, not a curated record